Molecule: non-coding RNA, 566 nt
Organism: Cricetulus griseus (Chinese hamster)
Lineage: Eukaryota; Metazoa; Chordata; Mammalia; Rodentia; Cricetidae
Source: RefSeq, a predicted model, not a curated record
GAGGAACUUGGGGGAAGAAUCAGAGAGGUGGGAUUGACCAGCCAGACACAGAGGAAGUGGUAUGUACAGCACUGAGAAGAGGAAGAGAAAACUCAUUCAAGACGCCCUUUCUCAGCCAUCUAAGCUUAAGGUUUCUCCCAUUCCUGGAGAGAAGAAGUACCAUGUAUUGAAUUUAGGACCUCACAUGUGCUAGGCACACAACACUGAGCUACAUUCCAGCCCGAAAUUCUACCCGCAAAUCCUGUGCAGUUCAAUUCAAGCCUGGACCUGUUCCCAUGAGAUGACCACACGUUCAGCUUUGCAACCCAGGCUGACCUGAACUCGACAUACGGCCUAGGCUGCUUCAGACUCACCACAGCCCUCCCAGCUCAGCCUCCUGACUGCUAUUACAGAACCCACCUUCACACUCUGUCCAUCUGUCCAGAAGAGUAUCUACCUGAACAAGAGCGAAUGGCACUAACCUUUUUUCCUUCUUGGCCCUUCAUGCCAUGGACCGCCCACGCCAGUUUAUACUAUUAUGGCCAUCAUCCCCUAUAACUUUUAUUAAAUAUAUAUUAUGUGUGAAA